GCCCCCGUAGCUCAGGGGAGAGAGCACCGGCCUCCGGAGCCGGGUGCGCAGGUUCGAAUCCUGCCGGGGGCG
Molecule: transfer RNA, 72 nt
Filed under: Streptosporangiales bacterium
Lineage: Bacteria; Bacillati; Actinomycetota; Actinomycetes; Streptosporangiales
Rfam family: tRNA
About the family: Transfer RNA (tRNA) molecules are approximately 80 nucleotides in length. Their secondary structure includes four short double-helical elements and three loops (D, anti-codon, and T loops).
Source: Rfam by way of RNAcentral